This 775-nucleotide ribosomal RNA is filed under the name uncultured bacterium. Its description in RNAcentral is "bacterial SSU rRNA". It matches the Rfam family "Bacterial small subunit ribosomal RNA", at positions 62 to 836 of the family's 1533-position model. The record is from RNAcentral.
UCGAGCGAGGCGGCCCGCAAGGGUCAGUCGAGCGGCGAACGGGUGAGUAACGCGUGGAUUAUCUACCCUGAGGUGGGGGAUAACCCGGGGAAACUCGGGCUAAUACCGCAUGAUACCGAGAGGUCAAAGGGGGCUCGCAAGGGCUCUCGCCAUAGGAGGAGUCCGCGUCCGAUUAGCUAGUUGGUAGGGUAAUGGCCUACCAAGGCAACGAUCGGUAGCCGGCCUGAGAGGGUGAUCGGCCACACUGGAACUGAGACACGGUCCAGACUCCUACGGGAGGCAGCAGUGGGGAAUUUUGCGCAAUGGGCUAACGCCUGACGCAGCAACGCCGCGUGGAGGAUGAAGGUCUUUGGAUUGUAAACUCCUGUCGACCGGGAAAAAGCAACUCGACCUAACACGUCGGGGAGUUGAUUGUACCGGUGGAGGAAGCCCCGGCUAACUCUGUGCCAGCAGCCGCGGUAAUACAGAGGGGGCAAGCGUUAUUCGGAAUUAUUGGGCGUAAAGGGCGCGUAGGCGGCCUGGCAAGUGGAAGGUGAAAUCCCUCGGCUUAACCGAGGAACUGCCCUCUAAACUGCUUGGCUUGAGUCCGGGAGAGGUGAGUGGAAUUCCCAGUGUAGCGGUGAAAUGCGUAGAUAUUGGGAGGAACACCAGUGGCGAAGGCGGCUCACUGGACCGGAACUGACGCUGAGGCGCGAAAGCGUGGGGAGCAAACGGGAUUAGAUACCCCGGUAGUCCACGCCGUAAACGAUGAGUGCUUGGUGUAGCGGGUAUCGAC